Molecule: ribosomal RNA, 324 nt
Filed under: uncultured Bacillota bacterium
Lineage: Bacteria; Bacillati; Bacillota
Description: bacterial SSU rRNA
Rfam family: Bacterial small subunit ribosomal RNA
Source: RNAcentral
GACGAACGCUGGCGGCGUGCUUAACACAUGCAAGUUGAACGGGGAUAUCGUUUUCGGAUGAUAUCUUAGUAGCGGACGGGUGAGUAACGCGUGAGCAACCUACCUUUGUGAGGGGGACAACAGCUGGAAACGGCUGCUAAUACCGCAUAAGACCACAGCCCUGAGUGGGGCAGUGGUAAAAGAUUUAUCGCACAAAGAUGGGCUCGCGUCCCAUUAGCUAGUUGGUGAGGUAACGGCCCACCAAGGCUUCGAUGGGUAGCCGACCUGAGAGGGUGAUCGGCCACACUGGAACUGAGACACGGUCCAGACUCCUACGGGUGGCAG